AAAGCUGGUCAAAUGUGAUGUAUCUAGUAGUAUUAGUGAUUAAUAUUAUAUUAACUAAGUUAAUUAAAAUUCGAUGUAGAUAUCUGAUUAUGACAGUAUUUGCUUAUGUCUUGACCAAUUCACGUGCCAGCAGUCGCGGUAAGACGUGUAAGAUAAGUGUUAUUCAUGUUUAACAGGUUUAAAGGGUACCUAGACGGUUAAUCAAACACUGUAAUGUAUUAAUUAACUAGAGUUUGAUAUAAGAAGGAUUGAGUACGGUGAGUGAAGAGAUAAAAUUCUAUUAGACCACUCUGGAACUGGUAAAGGCGAAGGCAACCUUCUAUGUAAAAACUGACGUUAAGGGACGAAGGCUCGUUAAAAAAAACAGGAUUAGAUACCCUGGUAUUUUGGGCAGACAAUGAUGAGUGUCAUAUGCAAGAUGAAUAAUUUUUUGUGUAUAAAUGAAAGUGUAAGCACUCCACCUUAAGAGUAACAUGGCAACAUGGGAACUGAAAUCAUUAGACCGUUUCUGAAACUCGUAGUGAAGUAUGUUGUUUAAUUUGAUAAUCCACAAAUAACCUUACCACAACUUGUAUAACUUUAGCUAAAAGUUACAAGCGUUGCACGGCUGUCUUCAGUCAAUGUUGUGAAACUGUGGUUAGAUCCAUUAAAUUGACGUA
RNAcentral lists this ribosomal RNA (659 nucleotides) under Thelotrema porinoides. RNAcentral's name for it is "SSU rRNA". It matches the Rfam family "Bacterial small subunit ribosomal RNA", at positions 370 to 1100 of the family's 1533-position model. Lineage: Eukaryota; Fungi; Ascomycota; Lecanoromycetes; Ostropales; Graphidaceae. The record is from RNAcentral.